UAGGGAAGUGGGUGUGCUUGUAUGGUUUUCCGGUUCCCUACAUUUUGUCUUUCAAAGGAUAUUUCAACGAAAACUUUGUGUUUACCUUGCCAUCCCCUAAGCAAGUUAGUGACCAGAUGAUUUUGGGCAAGCUAUGUCUGCCAUUGCUCAUCGUGGAACUGCCCAGUGAGAGGAUUUACAUUCUGUUUGCCACUGUGUGCUAGGCAUCUUACUUCCAUUUCUAUCAACAUCAUGAUCCUGAACGCACAAGGAUUGCUGACACUAGUUUCCCACUAUCUUUCAUCUGUUGAAAGCAUUCAUAUAUGCAUUCUUGUAUGUUUGAUGACUUCCACAUUUUCAUCAUCAAACAGCCAAACUUUCCAUAACCAAACCUCUACCAAUCCAUCACUUUUUCAAAAGCAGUCUUCUCACCGUUAGCCAGCAAAAAACAUAUAUAGGCUUUGAGACCAUCUCUACCUUUUAGGACUUCCUUAUCUGCUAUUCUUGCGCCUUUGCCGCGUCGCCGUCACCAUCGCCUUCGCCUCAUCGCUCUUAUCGUCGCUCUUACCGUCGCUCUUACCUUCGCCUCAUCGCCAUCGCCUUCGCCCCAUCGCCAUCGCCAUCGCCAUCGCCUUCGCCCCAUCGCC
Molecule: long non-coding RNA, 626 nt
Organism: Daphnia carinata
Lineage: Eukaryota; Metazoa; Arthropoda; Branchiopoda; Diplostraca; Daphniidae
Exons: 4
Source: RefSeq, a predicted model, not a curated record